GACGAACGCUGGCGGCGUGCUUAACACAUGCAAGUCGAACGGACAGGCCCUGAUCUUGUGGGGUGCUCGAGUGGCGAACGGGUGAGUAAAACGUGAGUAACAUGCCCUUGACAUUGGGAUAACUUCACGAAACUGGGGCUCAUACAGGAUAGGAGCUCCUGCUGCAUGGGGGGGGUUGGAAAGUUUCGGCGGUAUGGGCUGGUCUCGCGGCUUAUCAGCUUGUUGGUGGGGUAGGGGAGUACGAAGGCUAUGACGGGUAGGCGGCAUGAGAGCGGGAACGGCCACAAUGCUCCUGAGAGACGCCCCAGACGCCUACGGUCCGCAGCAGGCGGGAAUAUGGCACAAUGGGCGGAAGUCUGAGGCAGCAACGCCCCGUUCGUGAUGACGGCCUUCUGGUUGUAAACCGCUUUCGCCUUUGACGAAGCGUGAGUGACGGUAACGGGUAAAGAAGCACCGGCUAACUACGUG
Molecule: ribosomal RNA, 468 nt
Filed under: uncultured bacterium
Lineage: Bacteria
Description: partial 16S ribosomal RNA
Rfam family: Bacterial small subunit ribosomal RNA
Source: RNAcentral